Anas platyrhynchos (mallard) is the source of this 1647-nucleotide long non-coding RNA. RefSeq lists it as uncharacterized. NCBI's taxonomy places the organism in Eukaryota, Metazoa, Chordata, Aves, Anseriformes, Anatidae. The record is from RefSeq and is a predicted model, not a curated record.
GUCAGAUCAGAUAGAGAAAGUGCAAAUUCUGGGAGCAAACAGAAGUUCAUGAGAACUUUAAGGAAAUUCUCAGAAAUGCCAGAAGUCUCCAGGAAUGAAGGACAGAGAGAAGAGCAAAUGUCUGUCAUCAACCUUGAUUGGGAUACAUCAACACAGCACCACUUCAAUUCACUCCUACAAACACCUGAGCUACUACUGUUGUGCCUAUAUCCCAGCGUUUCACUGACCCAAGGACUACAGAGAGAUCAUGGCCUGCACUUCAUUGGUAUACAGGAGACAUGCAUGGAACCGUGAAAAUAACUGUGUGUACACAUUCUCCUCCACUGCAACAAGACCAUCACCUGUUUCAUAAUGAUAUGAUGGACCAAAUCACACCCAUCUAUUCUGGACAAUAUCUGAAACUUACACACAUGCAGAUAAUAAUGCUCUACUCUGUCUAGUAGACUGUUAAUGGACAAUGAUAAGCAGAAUUAACUCUAAGUCAUUAUGUUAAAACCUUUCCCAUGGAAAAGAAAUAAUGGGAAUUAUGGUAAAUUUUCUGCAAGCUCAACAGAAGGCUGAAGUUAUCUCAAAAAAGAUUCAAUGUAGAAAAAGAUUCAAUGUAGUAGUGUCUGAUAUAUGCAGUAUAGUAACCAUAUAUAAUAAACAUUUAUAAUGGUUAUUGAUAUAUGUUUUCCCACCAUAGAUACAACUUUGUGGAACUAAUUCCAGAAUAAGGCAAUACUGCUGCAAUUAAAAGCUGUCAGAAACUCAUUUAUAGGCUCAGAGAGCAUGAGAAAGAGAUGGAACAGUUAUCGCUGGAGAGUAACAAAGGUUUUAUCCAUUCAUUCCUCUCUUUCUGAUCUAUUUCAUCUGUACUUGUUUGUUUCCAUUAAGUAUAAUUUUAAUUACAAAUCAUGGUCCAGCUCAGCUGUUUUCUAUGUAUUCAGCCAUACCAAGCUGGGCAGUUUUUUCAUGAUCUACCAAAGAUUAAGUAGGGUUAAACUAGGUCAUCACUAAGGUGGAAUGAAACCCCUGAUGCUAAAAUGAUUUUUUUAAGAGACUGAGCUUUUCUACUACAUGUCUGCUUGGAAAUUUGCAGUUACUUUCCAGUAACAUAUUUGGACAUACAGAUUUGCUUUAUUUAAAAUGAUAGAAUGUUAUUUAAUUUGACAAAAAAAAUACAAAAUAAAUGGAUUUAUAUAUAUUUUUUUAUCUUUUCAUUAAAAUAUAAUUACACAGAAAAAAAAAAUCAGUUACAAUAGUUUUGAUAAUGACUUCAUCUAACGUGUUUCAGGGUUAUCAUUCAAGUCCCUUAUUUGGCUGAUUUCUAAAACUGACUGUACAGAUUCAUUUCCAUCAGUUGACCAUAUUUUGCUAUGGUUUUCAUAAGCAAUAAAGUAAUUUUUUAAAAGACUAUACCAGAAACCAGAUGGAGUAUGCUUUCCGUGUCCCUGAGAUAAUAGUUGCAGAUUCAGUUGAAAAAUGUUUCCUAUUUCUGCACUAUGCAAAGCAGCAAAAUUUUAGUCUACAAGUUUAGCCUUUAAGUAUGGGACUUAUGUGCUGUGUAUACCUGAGAGCAUAUUCACAGUGGCAAAUAAAACAGGGCCUGGCAGUGUUUGAUGGUUUUAAGUCCAAGUGACACAGGCUGUAUCUGUGCUUGACAGA